GAUGAACGCUGGCGGCGUGCCUAAUACAUGCAAGUCGAGCGAACGGACGAGAAGCUUGCUUCUCUGAUGUUAGCGGCGGACGGGUGAGUAACACGUGGAUAACCUACCUAUAAGACUGGGAUAACUUCGGGAAACCGGCGCUAAUCCCGGAUAAUCUUUUGAACCGCAUGGUUCAAAAGUGAAAGACGGUCUUGCUGUCACUUAUAGAUGGAUCCGCGCUGCAUUAGCUAGUUGGUAAGGUAACGGCUUACCAAGGCAACGAUGCAUAGCCGACCUGAGAGGGGGGUCGGCGACACUAGAACUUAGACACGGUCCAGACGCCUACGGGAGGCAGCAGUAGGGAAUCUGCCGCAAUAGGCGAAAGCCUGACGGAGCAACGCCGCGUGAGUGAUGAAGGUCUUCGGAUCGUAAAACUCUGUUAUUAGGGAAGAACAUAUGUGUAAGUAACUGUGCACAUCCUGACGGUACCUAAUCAGAAAGCCACGGCUAACUACGUG
This 497-nucleotide ribosomal RNA is filed under the name uncultured bacterium. RNAcentral's name for it is "partial 16S ribosomal RNA". It matches the Rfam family "Bacterial small subunit ribosomal RNA", at positions 28 to 507 of the family's 1533-position model. The record is from RNAcentral.